RNAcentral lists this ribosomal RNA (586 nucleotides) under Crypthelia polypoma. Its description in RNAcentral is "partial 16S large subunit ribosomal RNA". It matches the Rfam family "Bacterial large subunit ribosomal RNA", at positions 1833 to 2594 of the family's 2925-position model. Lineage: Eukaryota; Metazoa; Cnidaria; Hydrozoa; Anthoathecata; Stylasteridae. The record is from RNAcentral.
CCUAGAAAAAAUCUAAGGUGCAACCUGCCCAAUGGCUGCUAAAAAAUAACCAUAAACAGUUAAAAAGAAGCUUAAAGGACGCAGUAACCUGACUGUGAUAAAGUAGCAUAAUCACUCGCCAUUUAAUUGUUGGAUAGUAUGAAUGGUUAAACGAACCCUCCACUGUCUAAAAAAGAGAAGUCAUGAAAUUAGAAUAAUAGUUAAGAUACUAUUUAAAAUUGUAAGACGAAAAGACCCUAUAGAGCUUAACUAUACCUUCUUUUAAACCAAAAGAAAUUUCCCAAAACAGAGAAGGUGUUAGUUUAGUUGGGGCGACGGCCUUCUAAAAAUAACGAAGGCAAGCUAUGUUAAUAAAAUAAACUUAUUGUAUAAUAUAUAAAUUUAACAAUUACUAUAAUAGGCUAUAAUGACCCGUCAACAUCUAGUAAUAAAGUUGACAACAAAUAAGUAAAAGUUACCUUAGGGAUAACAGAAUAAUCUCGUCUUAGAGAUCCCAUCCGAGACAAAGCUUAUCACCUCUAUGUUGAAUUAAGAUAUCCCAGCGGUGCAAAAGCUGCUAACGGUAGGUCUGUUCGACCUUUAAAAU